Molecule: ribosomal RNA, 703 nt
Filed under: uncultured bacterium
Lineage: Bacteria
Description: bacterial SSU rRNA
Rfam family: Bacterial small subunit ribosomal RNA
Source: RNAcentral
GGCGAACGGGUGAGUAAUAUAUCGGAACGUACCCAAGAGUGGGGGAUAACGUAGCGAAAGUUACGCUAAUACCGCAUACGAUCUAAGGAUGAAAGCAGGGGACCGCAAGGCCUUGUGCUCCUGGAGCGGCCGAUAUCUGAUUAGCUAGUUGGUAGGGUAAAGGCCUACCAAGGCUACGAUCAGUAGCUGGUCUGAGAGGACGACCAGCCACACUGGAACUGAGACACGGUCCAGACUCCUACGGGAGGCAGCAGUGGGGAAUUUUGGACAAUGGGCGCAAGCCUGAUCCAGCAAUGCCGCGUGAGUGAAGAAGGCCUUCGGGUUGUAAAGCUCUUUUGUCAGGGAAGAAACGGUGAGGGCUAAUAUCCUUCACUAAUGACGGUACCUGAAGAAUAAGCACCGGCUAACUACGUGCCAGCAGCCGCGGUAAUACGUAGGGUGCAAGCGUUAAUCGGAAUUACUGGGCGUAAAGCGUGCGCAGGCGGUUUUGUAAGUCUGAUGUGAAAUCCCCGGGCUCAACCUGGGAAUUGCAUUGGAGACUGCAAGGCUAGAAUCUGGCAGAGGGGGGUAGAAUUCCACGUGUAGCAGUGAAAUGCGUAGAGAUGUGGAGGAACACCGAUGGCGAAGGCAGCCCCCUGGGUCAAGAUUGACGCUCAUGCACGAAAGCGUGGGGAGCAAACAGGAUUAGAUACCCUGGUAGUCC